RNAcentral lists this ribosomal RNA (880 nucleotides) under human gut metagenome. RNAcentral describes it as "bacterial SSU rRNA". It matches the Rfam family "Bacterial small subunit ribosomal RNA", at positions 626 to 1520 of the family's 1533-position model. The record is from RNAcentral.
ACAGAUACUGGCGGGCUAGAGAAAGUCUGGAGGCAGCGGAAUGUGACAAGUAGCGGUGAAAUGCAUAGAUAUGUCACAGAACACCGAUAGCGAAAGCAGCUGCCUAAGACUUAUCUGACGCUCAGGGACGAAAGCGUGGGGAGCAAACAGGAUUAGAUACCCUGGUAGUCCACGCAGUAAACGAUGGAUACCAUCUUUUUGGCAAUUAUGCUGAGAGGACAAUCGAAAGAGAUAAGUAUCCCACCUGGGGAGUACGUGCGCAAGCAUGAAACUCAAAGGAAUUGACGGGGGCCCGCACAAGCGGUGGAGCAUGUGGUUUAAUUCGAUGAUACGCGAGGAACCUUACCAGGGUUUAAAUGGGUCCUGAAUAAUUUGGAAACAGAUUAGCCGCAAGGCAGGAUUCAAGGUGCUGCAUGGUUGUCGUCAGCUCGUGCCGUGAGGUGUUAGGUUAAGUCCUGCAACGAGCGCAACCCCCAUGAUCCGUUACUAACAGGUAAAGCUGAGGACUCAGAUCAGACUGCCGGCGUAAGCCGCGAGGAAGGCGGGGAUGACGUCAAAUCAUCACGGCCCUUACACCCUGGGCCACACACGUGCUACAAUGGCCGGUACAGAGAGCAGCCACCCCGCGAGGGGGAGCGAAUCUACAAAACCGGUCUCAGUUCGGAUCGCAGUCUGCAACUCGACUGCGUGAAGCUGGAAUCGCUAGUAAUCGCGCAUCAGCCAUGGCGCGGUGAAUACGUUCCCGGGCCUUGUACACACCGCCCGUCAAGCCAUGGAAGUCUGGGGGACCUGAAGACGGUAACCGCAAGGAGCCGUUAAGGGUAAAACAGGUAACUAGGGCUAAGUCGUAACAAGGUAGCCGUAUCGGAAGGUGCGGCUG